AGCGAACGCUGGCGGCAUGCCUAACACAUGCAAGUCGAACGCCCCGCAAGGGGAGUGGCGAACGGGUGAGUAACGCGUGGGAACCUACCCAGCAGUUGGGGAUAACCGCGGGAAACUGCGGCUAAUACCGAAUACGUCCUUAGGGAGAAAGAUUUAUCGCUGUUGGAGGGGCCCGCGUCGGAUUAGCUAGUUGGUGAGGUAACGGCUCACCAAGGCGACGAUCCGUAGCUGGUCUGAGAGGAUGAUCAGCCACACUGGGACUUAGACACGGCCCAGACUCCUACGGGAGGCAGCAGUGGGGAAUAUUGGACAAUGGGGGCAACCCUGAUCCAGCAAUGCCGCGUGAGUGAUGAAGGCCUUAGGGUUGUAAAGCUCUUUUACCGGGGACGAUGAUGACGGUACCCGGAGAAUAAGCCCCGGCUAACUUCGUGCCAGCCGCCGCCGUAA
RNAcentral lists this ribosomal RNA (447 nucleotides) under uncultured bacterium. RNAcentral describes it as "partial 16S ribosomal RNA". It matches the Rfam family "Bacterial small subunit ribosomal RNA", at positions 29 to 523 of the family's 1533-position model. The record is from RNAcentral.